Molecule: long non-coding RNA, 755 nt
Organism: Helianthus annuus (common sunflower)
Lineage: Eukaryota; Viridiplantae; Streptophyta; Magnoliopsida; Asterales; Asteraceae
Exons: 4
Source: RefSeq, a predicted model, not a curated record
AUACGCUCCUUUGAAAAAAAAACACCCGACACUUUCAUGAUUCAACUGUUUUCAAACACUGCAAACACUAAGGUGCAUUUUGAGCUGAUAGGACGGUACAGCUAGCAGCGGCAUUGUAUCUGGCGUUGGACAGUAUCUUAAGUUAAAAAAUCAUAAUGUUAACGUAAAGUUUUUCUACAAUAUUGAACAUAACUCACAAUCUUGAUUUAGAUGCUUGCUGGUUGUUCUUAAAAUUCAUCAAAUUUGUAUUUUUAUUAGAUUUAUGGGCUCGAUCCCAAAGAAGGGGAUAUACUAAAUGGAGGCAAACCCGGUAAAAAAAGAAAAUAAAUAUUGGACAAGAAAGGAGACAUAAUGAAUUAGCUGUUGACGAAGGGGGUUAAGAACGUGUUAUUAUCGACUUGCUUAGACUUUUGCAGGCUAACGAGAGAUCUGGGCACUUCAAAUAAGUGAGACAGCCAAGAGUAAGACAACCACAAAUAUCUUCUUUCGUACCUUUUUUAUGAAUUCUUUAUAAUUCCACGUCACUGGAUAAUAUUGCAUUUAACUUUAUUUGUUUAUUUAAUUUUUGUAACAUCGUCAUGAAGGAACCAACUUCGGGCGUACUACAAGUGGCCCGUUUAUUGCUACAAGCUAUGACUAUCAUGCUUCUCCUAAUGAAUAUAGUAUGUUAUAAGCAGAGAAAAUUGCUACCAUUUAAAUGGUACAGCCUAUGUAUAUUGUUCAACCAUUGUUUACAUCAUUUAAAUGGUCCGACC